RNAcentral lists this ribosomal RNA (533 nucleotides) under uncultured bacterium. Its description in RNAcentral is "bacterial SSU rRNA". It matches the Rfam family "Bacterial small subunit ribosomal RNA", at positions 8 to 525 of the family's 1533-position model. The record is from RNAcentral.
AGAGUUUGAUUCUGGCUCAGGAUGAACGCUAGCGACAGGCUUAACACAUGCAAGUCGAGGGGCAGCGGGGGAGGAAGCUUGCUUUCUCCCGCCGGCGACCGGCGCACGGGUGAGUAACACGUAUGUAACCUGCCCUCUGCCGGGGGAUAAGCGGAAGAAAUUCCGUCUAAUACCGCAUAACACACAUCCGGGGCAUCCCGGGGGUGUCAAAGGAGCAAUCCGGCAGAGGAUGGACAUGCGGCGCAUUAGCCAGUCGGCGGGGUAACGGCCCACCGAGGCGACGAUGCGUAGGGGUUCUGAGAGGAAGGUCCCCCACACUGGUACUGAGACACGGACCAGACUCCUACGGGAGGCAGCAGUGAGGAAUAUUGGUCAAUGGGCGGAAGCCUGAACCAGCCAAGUCGCGUGAGGGAAGACGGUCCUAUGGAUUGUAAACCUCUUUUGCAGGGGAGCAAGGCACGGUACGUGUACCGUGAAGGAGAGUACCCUGAGAAAAAGCAUCGGCUAACUCCGUGCCAGCAGCCGCGGUAAUA